UUCUGAGUGAGCUGUUGCAACAUAUUCCUCAAAACAUUGGGAGAGCCAACCCCAGUUUGCUGUGAGACACCUGCCAACAAACCAUUCAAGGCAGGACUAUCUAUCACCUGAGACACAACACUAGAAGUACCAAACUGGGCAUCAGAACCUUGUUCUCCCAGUGGACUAUUCUCCAAGUUCCUGCAAACAGAUGAAGGUAUUUGACUUGAAUGUAUCUCAUUUGCACCCACCCUAUUUGUACCAGAGCUAAGAGAUGCAAGAGAUUGUAAUAGCUGUUGACCAGUCAUUCCAGUGUUCAGGUUCUCACAGACAGGAGUAUUGCUUGUUCCAAGAUCACCACUCUUCACCACCGAUUUUGGCUGACUGGUUUUCCUCUUGCAUUCCAAACUCCCCAUCGCUAAUCCAAGAGGAACAGCUUCAGCACCUUCUGAAAGAUCAUGCUUCUCACUGGAACUAGGGGCAUUUUCUGAAGUCUUUUUUGGCUUUAGUGAGGUUUCUCCAUUUGAACAUCCCACCGAGCAAGACGAAACAUCUUUUGAGCUCAAAAAACUCUCUGUCACCUCACCAUUACUUCCUCGGACAUGAUCAUCUUGAUUCUUUUGAUCAUGGCCAUCGAACAUUAACCCAGAUAAGGUCACAGAAGAUUCCCCUGCCCCAUUAAUCACUGUGCUAUUGUGUUGUUCACUGCUUACACCAUUGCCUGCACCAGAACUAACAGAGCCUGAUGUAGGCUGGCUGUCUCCUUGCAUGGUACCGACAAGACUUCUAAGUCGUGAAUUGACUUCAGCUAUUACAGAGGAUAAUGAUGUAGAAUCAGAUGGAGGCUGUGAAAUAGAAACACCUAGACCAGGUUGUGUGGCAUUUGAAACAGAAACAGUAACACCAGUAGAAUGUGACGGCACUGCUGCUGCAAUGACAUUUUGCACUGGUAGCAUCCGCACUGGGCCUGAACCACUAAAACCAGUACCAUUACCCCGUUCUCCUUGCAUCCCCUCCCCAUUACUUGCCCGGGCACCUAUGGUUGAUACAACCGGUGCCAGUGAAGUACCAGCAUGUACAUGGAUAUUUAUGUUCCUUGGGGCACUACCAAUGCCAACAUGACCAGAACUCAUGGGAUUUGAUUGUACAGAAGAACCACCAAAGAGGGAAUUGGUUUGUA
This 1159-nucleotide unclassified non-coding RNA is filed under the name Hevea brasiliensis (rubber tree). The record is from RNAcentral. Lineage: Eukaryota; Viridiplantae; Streptophyta; Magnoliopsida; Malpighiales; Euphorbiaceae.